RNAcentral lists this ribosomal RNA (1286 nucleotides) under bacterium BH2O1. RNAcentral's name for it is "bacterial SSU rRNA". It matches the Rfam family "Bacterial small subunit ribosomal RNA", at positions 56 to 1357 of the family's 1533-position model. The record is from RNAcentral.
UGCAAGUCGAACGAUGAACCGCUUGCUGGUGGAUUAGUGGCGAACGGGUGAGUAACACGUGAGUAACCUGCCCUUAACUCUGGGAUAAGCCUGGGAAACUGGGUCUAAUACCGGAUAUGACUCCUCAUCGCAUGGUGGGGGGUGGAAAGCUUUUGUGGUUUUGGAUGGACUCUCGGCCUAUCACCUUGUUGGUGAGGUAAUGGCUCACCAAGGCGACAACAGGUAGCCGGCCUGAGAGGGUGACCGGCCACACUGGGACUGAGACACGGCCCACACUCCUACGGGAGGCAGCAGUGGGGAAUAUUGCACAAUGGGCGGAAGCCUGAUGCAGCGACGCCCCGUGAGGGAUGACGGCCUUCGGGUUGUAAACCUCUUUCAGUAGGGAAGAAACGAAAGUGACGGUACCUGCAGAAAAAACGCCGGCUAACUACGUGCCACCAGCCGCGGUAAUACGUAGGGCGCAAGCGUUAUCCGGAAUUAUUGGGCGUAAAGAGCUCGUAGGCGGUUUGUCGCGUCUGCCGUGAAAGUCCGGGGCUCAACUCCGGAUCUGCGGUGGGUACGGGCAGACUAGAGUGAUGUAGGGGAGACUGGAAUUCCUGGUGUAGCGGUGAAAUGCGCAGAUAUCAGGAGGAACACCGAUGGCGAAGGCAGGUCUCUGGGCAUUAACUGACGCUGAGGAGCGAAAGCAUGGGGAGCGAACAGGAUUAGAUACCCUGGUAGUCCAUGCCGUAAACGUUGGGCACUAGGUGUGGGGGACAUUCCACGUUUUCCGCGCCGUAGCUAACGCAUUAAGUGCCCCGCCUGGGGAGUACGGCCGCAAGGCUAAAACUCAAAGGAAUUGACGGGGGCCCGCACAAGCGGCGGAGCAUGCGGAUUAAUUCGAUGCAACGCGAAGAACCUUACCAAGGCUUGACAUGAACCGGUAAGACCUGGAAACAGGUCCCCCACUUGUGGCCGGUUUACAGGUGGUGCAUGGUUGUCGUCAGCUCGUGUCGUGAGAUGUUGGGUUAAGUCCCGCAACGAGCGCAACCCUCGUUCCAUGUUGCCAGCGCGUUAUGGCGGGGACUCAUGGGAGACUGCCGGGGUCAACUCGGAGGAAGGUGGGGACGACGUCAAAUCAUCAUGCCCCUUAUGUCUUGGGCUUCACGCAUGCUACAAUGGCCGGUACAAAGGGUUGCGAUACUGUGAGGUGGAGCUAAUCCCAAAAAGCCGGUCUCAGUUCGGAUUGGGGUCUGCAACUCGACCCCAUGAAGUCGGAGUCGCUAGUAAUCGCAGAUCAGCAACGC